GAUGAACGCUGGCGGCGUGCCUAAUACAUGCAAGUCGAACGCAUAGCGAAAGGUGCUUGCACCUUUCAAGUGAGUGGCGAACGGGUGAGUAACACGUGGACAACCUGCCUCAAGGCUGGGGAUAACAUUUGGAAACAGAUUCUAAUACCGAAUAAAACUUAGUGUCGCAUGACACAAAGUUAAAAGGCGCUUCGGCGUCACCUAGAGAUGGAUCCGCGGUGCAUUAGUUAGUUGGUGGGGUAAAGGCCUACCAAGACAAUGAUGCAUAGCCGAGUUGAGAGACUGAUCGGCCACAUUGGGACUGAGACACGGCCCAAACUCCUACGGGAGGCUGCAGUAGGGAAUCUUCCACAAUGGGCGAAAGCCUGAUGGAGCAACGCCGCGUGUGUGAUGAAGGCUUUCGGGUCGUAAAGCACUGUUGUAUGGGAAGAACAGCUAGAAUAGGAAAUGAUUUUAGUUUGACGGUACCAUACCAGAAAGGGACGGCUAAAUACGUG
Molecule: ribosomal RNA, 497 nt
Filed under: uncultured bacterium
Lineage: Bacteria
Description: partial 16S ribosomal RNA
Rfam family: Bacterial small subunit ribosomal RNA
Source: RNAcentral